This 252-nucleotide long non-coding RNA is filed under the name Equus caballus (horse). Its description in RNAcentral is "lncRNA (ENSECAG00000040205.3)". The record is from RNAcentral. Lineage: Eukaryota; Metazoa; Chordata; Mammalia; Perissodactyla; Equidae.
CCGGGAUUUAAGAGAACAAGGUCCGCAUUUACCCACACAGGUGACAAUCAGGACCAAUUGCAAGUCUGUCAAUAAGCGCUCCAGGAGAAACCAGUUUGACCACCAGGACCGAGUUCUCCCUGACAACCGAGUCAGCCACGAAAACGAAGACGACAACAUGCUUGUGUUCAUGGUGAUGUCGAGACCAGCAAGCACCAGAUCAAGCAGGCUAUGCAGAGGCUUUAUGCCAUUGCGCCACCAACGUCAACACCC